This 1289-nucleotide ribosomal RNA is filed under the name Campylobacter jejuni. RNAcentral's name for it is "bacterial SSU rRNA". It matches the Rfam family "Bacterial small subunit ribosomal RNA", at positions 224 to 1533 of the family's 1533-position model. The record is from RNAcentral. Lineage: Bacteria; Pseudomonadati; Campylobacterota; Epsilonproteobacteria; Campylobacterales; Campylobacteraceae.
GAUGAGACUAUAUAGUAUCAGCUAGUUGGUAAGGUAAUGGCUUACCAAGGCUAUGACGCUUAACUGGUCUGAGAGGAUGAUCAGUCACACUGGAACUGAGACACGGUCCAGACUCCUACGGGAGGCAGCAGUAGGGAAUAUUGCGCAAUGGGGGAAACCCUGACGCAGCAACGCCGCGUGGAGGAUGACACUUUUCGGAGCGUAAACUCCUUUUCUUAGGGAAGAAUUCUGACGGUACCUAAGGAAUAAGCACCGGCUAACUCCGUGCCAGCAGCCGCGGUAAUACGGAGGGUGCAAGCGUUACUCGGAAUCACUGGGCGUAAAGGGCGCGUAGGCGGAUUAUCAAGUCUCUUGUGAAAUCUAAUGGCUUAACCAUUAAACUGCUUGGGAAACUGAUAGUCUAGAGUGAGGGAGAGGCAGAUGGAAUUGGUGGUGUAGGGGUAAAAUCCGUAGAUAUCACCAAGAAUACCCAUUGCGAAGGCGAUCUGCUGGAACUCAACUGACGCUAAGGCGCGAAAGCGUGGGGAGCAAACAGGAUUAGAUACCCUGGUAGUCCACGCCCUAAACGAUGUACACUAGUUGUUGGGGUGCUAGUCAUCUCAGUAAUGCAGCUAACGCAUUAAGUGUACCGCCUGGGGAGUACGGUCGCAAGAUUAAAACUCAAAGGAAUAGACGGGGACCCGCACAAGCGGUGGAGCAUGUGGUUUAAUUCGAAGAUACGCGAAGAACCUUACCUGGGCUUGAUAUCCUAAGAACCUUUUAGAGAUAAGAGGGUGCUAGCUUGCUAGAACUUAGAGACAGGUGCUGCACGGCUGUCGUCAGCUCGUGUCGUGAGAUGUUGGGUUAAGUCCCGCAACGAGCGCAACCCACGUAUUUAGUUGCUAACGGUUCGGCCGAGCACUCUAAAUAGACUGCCUUCGUAAGGAGGAGGAAGGUGUGGACGACGUCAAGUCAUCAUGGCCCUUAUGCCCAGGGCGACACACGUGCUACAAUGGCAUAUACAAUGAGACGCAAUACCGCAAGGUGGAGCAAAUCUAUAAAAUAUGUCCCAGUUCGGAUUGUUCUCUGCAACUCGAGAGCAUGAAGCCGGAAUCGCUAGUAAUCGUAGAUCAGCCAUGCUACGGUGAAUACGUUCCCGGGUCUUGUACUCACCGCCCGUCACACCAUGGGAGUUGAUUUCACUCGAAGCCGGAAUACUAAACUAGUUACCGUCCACAGUGGAAUCAGCGACUGGGGUGAAGUCGUAACAAGGUAACCGUAGGAGAACCUGCGGUUGGAUCACCUCCUUU